AAAAACACUACAGAGAAAAGAAUACUUUGGAGAAAAAGCUCUUAUCAGGGCCUGCAACGUACAGUCCUGUGUUACAGAAAUCUUGUCCAUACCCUUAUUUGUUAAAGCAUCAAAGCAUUGAGCUAUAACUUCCAGUACAACAUUGAAUAAGAGUGUAUAGCCUGAUGAUUAAGAGUUCACCUUUUCCAGGAAGAUACAU
Miniopterus natalensis is the source of this 199-nucleotide non-coding RNA. The record is from RefSeq and is a predicted model, not a curated record. NCBI's taxonomy places the organism in Eukaryota, Metazoa, Chordata, Mammalia, Chiroptera, Miniopteridae.